Molecule: ribosomal RNA, 818 nt
Filed under: Escherichia coli
Lineage: Bacteria; Pseudomonadati; Pseudomonadota; Gammaproteobacteria; Enterobacterales; Enterobacteriaceae
Description: partial 23S ribosomal RNA
Rfam family: Bacterial large subunit ribosomal RNA
Source: RNAcentral
GACCAUCCUCCAAGGCUAAAUACUCCUGACUGACCGAUAGUGAACCAGUACCGUGAGGGAAAGGCGAAAAGAACCCCGGCGAGGGGAGUGAAAAAGAACCUGAAACCGUGUACGUACAAGCAGUGGGAGCCUCUUAAUGGGGUGACUGCGUACCUUUUGUAUAAUGGGUCAGCGACUUAUAUUCUGUAGCAAGGUUAACCGAAUAGGGGAGCCGAAGGGAAACCGAGUCUUAACUGGGCGUUAAGUUGCAGGGUAUAGACCCGAAACCCGGUGAUCUAGCCAUGGGCAGGUUGAAGGUUGGGUAACACUAACUGGAGGACCGAACCGACUAAUGUUGAAAAAUUAGCGGAUGACUUGUGGCUGGGGGUGAAAGGCCAAUCAAACCGGGAGAUAGCUGGUUCUCCCCGAAAGCUAUUUAGGUAGCGCCUCGUGAAUUCAUCUCCGGGGGUAGAGCACUGUUUCGGCAAGGGGGUCAUCCCGACUUACCAACCCGAUGCAAACUGCGAAUACCGGAGAAUGUUAUCACGGGAGACACACGGCGGGUGCUAACGUCCGUCGUGAAGAGGGAAACAACCCAGACCGCCAGCUAAGGUCCCAAAGUCAUGGUUAAGUGGGAAACGAUGUGGGAAGGCCCAGACAGCCAGGAUGUUGGCUUAGAAGCAGCCAUCAUUUAAAGAAAGCGUAAUAGCUCACUGGUCGAGUCGGCCUGCGCGGAAGAUGUAACGGGGCUAAACCAUGCACCGAAGCUGCGGCAGCGACGCUUAUGCGUUGUUGGGUAGGGGAGCGUUCUGUAAGCCUGUGAAGGUGUGCUGUGAGGC